This is a non-coding RNA of Rattus norvegicus (Norway rat), 2560 nucleotides long. Lineage: Eukaryota; Metazoa; Chordata; Mammalia; Rodentia; Muridae. The record is from RefSeq and is a predicted model, not a curated record.
UCCAUUAGUGUUUCUUUUAUGAAUUCGAAUGCAUGUAUGCAUUGCUUUUUCCAUUGUUGUAUCAUUUUUUUUUAAAAAGGAAGAUCUUAUUGUUUCUACUGGUCGGGUCUGAGGGUAUAAAGUCAUUCAAGGGGGUCAUGUUGGUGGGAAUGUGAGGUCACAUUGCAUCCAUAAUCAGGAAGCAGUGAGAGAUCGCAGGAUACAGCACACUUCCCCCUUUUACAUUUUACUCAGUUAUAGACUCCAGUGAAGCCAAAGAACAGGGUCAAGGAUGGGAAGGACUCAGGCAAAUCCUUACAAAAAAGUGGUAUAUGGGGGAAAAGUCAGCAAAGCAGAAAGCUUUGCUCCCCCCCACUUAUUGUCCUAGAGAUUGACUACAGCCAUUAGAAGAAGCCAGGGAUACUCCAGAGUGUGUGCAGGUGACCCUUGGAUCAUCACAACACUAAAGCGCACAUUACUGAACGGAUUUAGGAGACAUGGGAUACAUGAAGUACAGUGAACAUAUUAAAGUCAUGCAGGAAAAGCAGGCCCAAGAACUCUGUCAGCCACACCAGACCAAGGCAGUGCAUGCCUUCAUCUGAGUCCUAUAACGAGGUAACACCUAGCAUUAAGAUAAAGAUAGCAUUCACUGACCACUCAGGAUAUGCAUUGAGAGACCGUCAGGCAUAUGCUUCACAACUGUCUCGGGGCCUUAAGCUCAGCUCAGUCUCUCGUGUUGAGAUGGUGUACUCAAACUGCCAUCUGCUCAUCUACCCCUUACCUGUCUAGGUCUGUGUCCUGGCUGGCUUUACACCAACUCGACACAAACUAGAGUCAUCAGAGAGGAAGGAGCCUCAGUGGAGGAAAUGCCUCCAUGAGAUCCUGCUGUAAAGCAUUUUCACAAUUAGUAAUCAAUUAGGUGGGGGGAAGCCCAGCCCAUUGUGGGUGGUGCCUUCCCUGGGUUGGUAGUCCUGGUUUCUCUAAUAAGCAAGCUGAGCACGCCAUGGGAAGCAAGCCAGUAAGCAGCAUCCCUUCAUGGCCCCUGCAUCAGCUCCUGCCUCCUGGAUCCUGCCCAGCUUGAGUUCCAGUCCUGACUUCCUUUGGUGGUGAACAGCAGUGUGGAAGUGUAAGCUGAAUAAACCCUUUCCUCCCCAGCCUGCUUUGUGGUCAUGGUGUUUGCUGUAAUGACAGAAACCUUAACUAAGACAAUCUGCCAUCCAUUGAUCCACCCUGGUCCUGCCCUGUUGUCUCUGUUCUGGUCUCAAUCCCGACCCUGAAGCCUGACACUACAGUGGUUCUCAACCUAUGGGUCAUGACCCCUUAGAGUUUCAAAUGGCUUUUUUCCACAGGAGUCACCUAAGACCACCAGCACCAGGAAGCAUAGAUAUUUACAUUAGGAUUCAUAACAGUAGCAAAAUUACAUUGAUGAAGUAGCAACGUAAAUGAUUUUGUGGUCGGGGGUCUCCACAACAUGAGGAACUGUAUUAAAGGGUCUCAGCGUGAGGAAGGCUGAGGACCACUGAAAAGCAACAGCUCAGGUUGGCUUGUCAUCAGUACAGUUUAGUUCUACUAGUUUCUCUGCUUCUCAGUACCUCUAAAACCCCCUGAUGUCUUGUGGCCCCUUAACUCAUGAGAGGCAUUCUACAACCUACGAAUAUCAUAAGUAGAAACAUUUGCUGGGUGAUGCAUGAUAUGUGAUCUGAGAAUUAAUAUUAAUUCCUAAAAUUGUGGUAAAGCGGCCUAUGCUCACCUUUGCCAGACUAUCAAGAAAAGCUGACGUAUCUGACAAAUUGUUGCCAUAGGAACAGUGGUCCCUAGUGAGCUCAUUGUUACCCAAUAAAUGCUGAGACUGGGGAAAGACACAAACGUGCUUGUCUAUGUUGCUGACAAAAGCAUCUGGGACGGUGGGGCACGGACUCUAAGUAGGUUUUCAGUACAUACAGGCUGUGCAAAACAGAACACAGCUCAAGUGGGCCUUUAGCGUGGAUACAUAUCUCAUCGGCGAUCAAUUCCUGCUUCCCCUCCCUUUGAUAGUUAGCCUGACACCCAGACAUGAGUUUUGAGAUAGUUUAUUUUCUUUAACAGUUUUAACUCCUUAAAAUUGCGUGUGUAUGUCUUUCCAGUUCUGAUCGCCAUAGUUCGCAGUUUAAUCCUCAAGGAAGUAAAGAAGCACAGAGAGCACUGUGGGGAUGCUUGUGUGCCAGCCACCAUCAGGGUCUCAUAGAGAGGACGCAGCGGAUGCUGAAACGCAAGAGUAAAUGCUGAUGUGACUAACGGAGAGAAGAAAAAAUACCAGCACAGACUCAUUUGAGAGCAUACACCCAAUGACCUAAGACCCUCCCAGAAGACUCACCUCCUAAAGGCCACAGAACCUAUCAGUAAUACCAUCCUGGGGGCCUCGCACACCUGAGGGACACUAAGGAUCCAUACUUUAGAAACAAUGCAACAUCUGACGAUCGCACAGCUCGCUGGUUAUGCAGGUUUUCCCCUGACCUAGAAACCUCUUAGCAUAAAACUGGAAUAAGAAGGUGAUGUCUGUUACAGCUUCUUCCAUCUAUAAUGAAGUAAUUCUUUUGUUUAU